RNAcentral lists this small nuclear RNA (24 nucleotides) under Arabidopsis thaliana (thale cress). RNAcentral describes it as "snRNA_11643". Lineage: Eukaryota; Viridiplantae; Streptophyta; Magnoliopsida; Brassicales; Brassicaceae. The record is from RNAcentral.
ACGAAAGCCAAAGAGAUGAGCAAG